UCUAUCAAUCAAUCAAACACACGUUUUUAUUCAUAUUCCAGCAUCUACUUUUUCGACGACUUCAUCAUACUUUUUCUCUUUUAUUACGAGUUCUUAGGAAUUCGUCGACUUAAGCUCGGCGUGUUCUCGAGUUCCGCGUGAGUACCUCUUAGCCGUGACAUCCGGGCGCAUCGCUGUUGUCAGGACUAAAGUGUUCGAGUUAUCACCUUUGCCGAUAGUAAGGUCAAAUCGGCUGGCACGCCUUAACGUUUAAAUCGGGUAUUAGCCCUUGUGUUUGCAGAUCAGUUUUGCAUCAACAUCCGUACUAACACUACAAUAACAUCUAGAAAAAAUAAAUGAUAAAACUAAAUUCACUGUCUCGUAGAUAUUAGUCAUCUCACUCAUGAAAAAAAAAUAAACAAGCCCACACAGCCAUACUAAGAAGGAUCUUUCAUUUCACAAUCACCAUAUCCAUUAAUUCUCUCAAAAUUGACUAAAUUAAUAAUGGCCGCCCUUAUUAUCUCAAUAUCACUAGGUAAAUUUUGACAACUCUGUUUUGUGACAAAAGAAAGGCUAAGUAGAAUUUCUCAUAAAGCUUAUAGUUAGAGCACUAUCUAGACUGCAGAAAUGAAAGAAGCCCCCCCCCCCCAGUUUUAGAUGAGCAUGGAGUCACCAUCUUAAGAUGGCAACGGGUACCCGAAACCCAAGUACCCGGCGGGUUUUACCGAUACAGAGGC
Molecule: long non-coding RNA, 716 nt
Filed under: Sorghum bicolor (sorghum)
Lineage: Eukaryota; Viridiplantae; Streptophyta; Magnoliopsida; Poales; Poaceae
Description: long non-coding RNA (SBIC_LNC015552)
Source: RNAcentral